UACGUAGGGGGCGAGCGUUGUCCGGAUUUAUUGGGCGUAAAGAGCUCGUAGGCGGCUUGGCAAGUCGGGUGUGAAACCUCCAGCUUAACCUGGAGACGCCACUCGAUACUGCCAUGGCUAGAGUCCGGUAGGGGACCACGGAAUUCCUGGUGUAGCGGUGAAAUGCGCAGAUAUCAGGAGGAACACCGGUGGCGAAGGCGGUGGUCUGGGCCGGCACUGACGCUGAGGAGCGAAAGCGUGGGUAGCAAACAGG
Molecule: ribosomal RNA, 253 nt
Filed under: uncultured bacterium
Lineage: Bacteria
Description: partial 16S ribosomal RNA
Rfam family: Bacterial small subunit ribosomal RNA
Source: RNAcentral